Bison bison bison is the source of this 70-nucleotide microRNA precursor. Lineage: Eukaryota; Metazoa; Chordata; Mammalia; Artiodactyla; Bovidae. The record is from Ensembl.
GGUUCCUACAGUGAGCCCCCGUUCUCCUCCUGUCAAGGUGGACAACUGAGGUUCCUGCUGAAACUGGACC